This is an RNA transcript of Musa acuminata AAA Group (dessert banana), 6281 nucleotides long. It is a transcript of the gene named protein INCREASED PETAL GROWTH ANISOTROPY 1-like, with no coding region annotated. The transcript has 9 exons. Lineage: Eukaryota; Viridiplantae; Streptophyta; Magnoliopsida; Zingiberales; Musaceae. The record is from RefSeq and is a predicted model, not a curated record.
GUAUCGAUCAAUCACUUCACCCUAUCCGCCGUCUGCGUUUGCUUAUUUGCUCGCGAGAUGCUUACUCUCGAUCUCCGAUCUGCUUGAUCGUGCUGUCGCACCACCCGCCGACACACGGCCGAGAAGGUCGACUCCGUCGUCUGUCAGAACCCUCCCGUUCGACUUCUUCCAGGAACGAGGCCCUCUGGGUGAAGCUAUUGCUCUCCGGCUGGCGGCGCGCUGCAAGGUCGCAAUCGGGCCGUUUGCCCCAUCGUCGUCUUGGGUGUGCGGUCCGCAAUCCAAGCUUGACAUCCGAGGUUGCAGAUUGCAGGGACUUCUUGGGCAAAUCUCUUCACCGGUAGGUUCGUAUCGGAAGUGAGUAUUCACGUACCAUGUCACCCAAGUCGUCGCGAACGGCAUGGUCGUGAUCGAAACCAUGUCGGUGAUAGGGUUUGGUGCAAUCCGGAGAUUGAUAGGCCACGGCGUGGCUUCCCGCCUUACCUGACGCUCUAUAAGACCUGCAAUCCGGAGGACCACGGCUCCAGAACCGGGUACAUGAUGAGGUUCAACGCCUUGUCCUGAUACCACAAUACUCUGCUCCGGCGGAAGCAUCAUCAAUCCUUUCAAAUGCGGAAAGCUACGAAGUCGAGGAAAGGCAGGCUAAAAGAGAAGAGAAAGGAACGAGAGAACAGCGUGCCCAUCAUAUCUGCUCGCAUCCUGCUGCCUUUGGGCCUGGAUUCCGUUGAUGCAAAGAUUCCUGCUCAGCUGGGAAAGACCAGCCGCUAGUGAACAAAUCCCUCUCUGAUUUCCGCUGAAUUCUUUUAGUAUACGAGAGACACAAAGGAACAGAAAGGAAUGGAGAAAAAGAAAUAUGGUCAACCAACACGGCAAGCAGGUCUCCAUUGGUGGUCGAGCGGGGCCCAAAGGUGCAUCAUUUGGCGGCUGGAGCUCGCCUGUAUCACCCAGACAGGGAACGCGAUGGUCUCUCACACACCUGAGCCCGUUCCUCCGUUGGAUGGUCCGCGAUGGUCAUUGCUUGUCUCGGGCCCAACCACGCAUUUCCCAGUAACAACGGGGGCCAUCAUGGGCUACGGCCAGGCUAAUUUGAAUAGAAUUCGACAUCAUGGCGCACGCGGGCAGACACCUGAAUCCGAAUCGAUCGCCCAGCGCUCGCUUUGCUUUGCAAAGCCUGCUGUCGCGCCCGCUUCGGUGACUUUUUCUCUGCUUUCAAAUUUUUAUUCCGCUCUAGCUUUAUGCAUCCAUUCACAUACACCAUAUGUAGAAAUUUGGAACUCAAUAACGCAUAUAGAGUCGAAGGGACAACAGAACACCAUGCUUUUCCCACCUUUGACCCUUUACAUCGCCAUUAUUUCAAACACUGUAUCACCCGGCAAAACGAAACAAAAGCAGCGGCAGAGGAGAAGUCCUCACUCUCUCUCUCUCGCGCAACAACACCCAGCAAGGCUUAUGAAUGAUGGUCGCGGGAAAGGUGAAGGCCGCCAUGGGGUUCCGUCGCAGCCCCGCCACGCCUAAGAUGGCGACGCCCCGCCGCUCCCCCUCCUCCUCCCCGGUCUCCCAAAAGUCGUCGCCGGCGGCGGAGGGGGGUCAUCAGACGACGACCGCCGCGUUCGCUCGAUCCUUCGGCGUUUACUUCCCCCGCGCCUCCGGCCAGGUCCAGCCCCGCCCGCCCUACGUCGCUGAGCUGCUUCGCCUGGUGGAGGAGCUCCAGGAGGAGGAGUCCCGUCUCCGCACCCAGCUCCUGGAGCAGAAGCUCCUCAGGGAGACCGUCGCCAUCGUGCCCUUCCUCGAGAAGGAGAUCGCCGACAAGCGCGAGGAGCUGGUGCGGGCCGGUGACCGUAUCGAGCGCCUGGAGGGGGAGAACCGGGCCCUGAAGGACGAAGUCGAGGGCUUGAGCUCUGAGAUACGGAGCGGCGAAGAGGAGAACCAGCGGAGGGAGAGGAGGAUCAAUGAUCUCGAAAAAGAGUUGGACGAGCUGAAGAAGGCGGCUUCGGAGCAGCGCAAUGGCGACUCGAGGCGGCUAUGCGCCGGGACAGGGGAGAUGGACGAGUGCUCGUCGUCGCAGAGGUUCCAAGGCCUCAUUGACGCUUCCGCGAGAUCGAAUCUCCUCAAAAGCCUGCGCAAACCACCCAAAUCCGCCAACAUUGUUCCCAAUCAAGAGGUCCAAAGGCCAGAAUGCAGAAAUCCGAAGGCGGAUGGAGGGGUCAUCGAGGGGGUGCAUCAGCAGCCUCACGGCGGCGACAAGGAAGAGGUCUUGAGACCCCGAGCAUCCAGGGUUCCAAAACCCCCGCCCACGCCUUCGAUGUCCUGUAACCCCUCGAACUCAUCUUCUUCGUCGUCUUCUUCCCAUACCACGUCCCGCGUCGCAACAAGCAAAGGCCCCAGCUUGGCGUGCCUCCCGCCGAUCCCGCCGCCAGCCCCACCGGUAAAAUCCACACCGCAAGGCGGAGCGCGGCCACCUCCUCCGCCUCCACCUCCCCCGCCGCCAACGCUGGGGUCCAGGUCGGCGGCAGCAAGCGUGAGGCGGGUGCCGGAGGUGGUGGAAUUCUACCACUCCCUUAUGCGGCGGGACUCCAGGAGGGAGUCCUGCGGCGGAUUGCAGGAGGCGCCUCCCGCCGCCGCAUCCGUCUCCAACGCGCGCGACAUGAUCGGCGAGAUCGAGAACCGCUCCGCGCACCUCCUCGCCAUAAAGACGGACGUGGAGACGCAGGGCGACCUCAUUAGAUUCUUAAUCAAGGAAGUGGAGCACGCGGCGUUCGCCAACGUCGAAGACGUGGUCACCUUCGUCAAAUGGCUCGACGACGAGCUCUCCUUCCUCGUGGACGAGAGAGCGGUGCUGAAGCACUUCGAGUGGCCGGAGCACAAGGCGGACGCCAUGCGCGAGGCGGCCUUCGGCUACUGCGACCUCAAGAAGUUGGAGUCGGAGGCGUCGUCGUUCCGCGACGACCCUCGCCAGCCCUGCUCUUCCUCUCUCAAGAAGAUGCAGUCGCUCUUGGACAAAUUGGAGCGAGGUGUAUACAACCUUUCACGUGCAAGGGAAGCUGCCACGAAGAGGUACAAGGGGUUUGGUAUUCCUUGGGAAUGGAUGCUGGAGAGCGGAUACGUUAACCAGAUCAAGGUAGCAACAGGGAAACUAGCAAUGAAGUACAUGAAAAGAGUCUCUUCCGAGCUGGAGAUCAUAGCAGGCAACCCUGAAGAAGAGGAACUCAUGCUUCAGGGUGUUAGAUUUGCCUUCAGAGUACACCAGUUUGCAGGAGGUUUUGAUGCGGAAACAAUGCGAGCUUUCCAGGAGCUCAAGAACACAGCUCGCACCCUCCACCUACAACUCCAAAAUCACAACCGGCAGAAGCUUUAUUGCAAGUCCACAUCCGGCUGCUAGGCAAUGCACAACCAUGCAUGCGUCUACGCCUGCAAAGGUAGCACAAACCCAUUUGAUCCAUACGACUUCAGCAAUCUAUUCACGUUACCUGAUACAGCACAGAAGCGUAGGCUAUUUGUUGCAAACUAGCAUUCAUUCACUCUCUGAUGUGAGCUCUUUGCGUGCCUAGUUUCCUCCUCUUCCCUACGCGUUCAUUGCCUGCCAUGGAUGGUUUCUUCUCUUUAUCCUUCUGUGUCCCCUCUCCAGGUUUUUACCAGUAGCCAAAUUUGAGGCUUAAAUGUUGAAUUCAACACAGUUCAUCGUCUUCUUGUUCAGAGUACUAACAAACUGUUCAUAGGUGUUUUAGAUCGGAAAUGCAGAUCAAUAUCACCAAGCUCAAGACGAUGAAUGAUGUAGGCUCUCUUGGCUGCUUCUAUUGCCUCCUCUGCCUUCUGUGUCGCCCGCACUCGCCGUGGCGUCCUUCGUCUUCGUCGCUGCCUCCCUCGCGGUCUCGCCGGUACUCACAGCGACAUCCUUGGCCUUCAACGCGGCCUGCUCUGCGUAGUCCAUGGCGGACUCGCCUGCACUCACGGCGGCAUCCUUUGCGACCUCGAGCCCCUGACGGCUCUUUUCGACGGUCGUAUCCUUCACCGAAGAAGCCUGCUGCGCGGCAACCUCCGCCACGGCGUGGGCCUUCUCAGCCGCGUAAUCCUUGGCCAGGGACCCCUUCUCGGUGGUGUACUCAGCGGCAGCACGAGCCCCAUGAGCAGCCCUGUCCUUGGCCUCGGUGCCCAUAGCGGCGGCCCAGAGCCCCGCAGCACCGAGGCCAUGGGCGACGGUGUCUCUGGUCCCGUGGAGGACCCCGGGACCGGCUUGCUUGGCCUUCUCGUACCGCUCCUCGGCCGCCCUGAUGGACUCUACAGAGUUCUGCUGGGCGACGGCGCGGUACCGGCCGAUCUCCUCCGGCGACAUGUACUCUAUCAUGUCUUGCUCAUCCUCUUCAGAAACCACUCUCCGGCGACUGCUCGUAUUUAUUAUUAAGUUAAUGAUGAUCAAAGUAUGAAUAUUGCACGGUGCGGAUCCCUCUCCGUUCAUCAUGCGUUAAGAAGCGUGCAAGGACUCGAUCACAUGCGUGCAUCUAUGUAGUCGAAUCGGCUUGAAGUUAUUUCAAUUCGAUUGGAUUGGAUUCUGAUCACGUGGUCGAGUCGACUCGAAUCGAAUCGAUUUCGACCCGAUUCGAUGCGAUCGGAUCCAGAUUAAGCCCAUCUUCCUUGGCACGUGAGUCGCAGCGGGGAUCCCCAAGUCACAUGUUAAGAAGCGUGCAAGGAUCGGACUCCAUCACAGGCGCGUCGACGUCGUCGAAUCGAUUUUAACCCAAUUCGAUCACGAAUCACGUGAUCGGACGACGCAACUCCUUGGGCAGCCGUCCGAUUCACGAUCCCGUCACGUUGCUCUCAUGUGUUUGUCGUGAUGCCGGAACAAGCAAACGCCGUAAAGCCUCCGCAACAUGAUUCCGUCCUUGCGACCUGUGCACGCCACGGCAGACAAGACAGUUUUCGUCAUCUUCUUCGUAUGAAAGCGUGCCUUGUGAAGCUGUAAUCGGUAGACUGUCAUGUAAGAUGGUCAGCUAAGAAAUGGGAGGAGUACUCUACUCCGUACGCAAGCAAGCAAGCGAACGCAGAUUUCUUUGUGGCUUGCCAAGUCUUUGCAUGAUUUCACCCAUGUGUGCUUUAGACUAUUCGAUUCCUAGAGAUGUUCGAUGCCAAUGACAUGAGAAAUCCAACCUAAACUCUCAUCCGGUGUGCCAUGAAAUAGUCAAAGCAAUAGAAAAGAUUAUUAUACCCACCUCUUCCAACAUAAACCAUAUGCAUACAUAUAUGUCAAGCAUCAUAUGAUAUGUCAGUCUAAAGAAUUGACACCUUCAUCUUUUCCUCCGUAACGAUUUGGAAUCUCGAACGCUUACAGAUCCGUGAGUUGUUGGGUGUAGUUGGAGAGGACUGUAACUUCACGUUGUCGAGCCAUGGAAACUUAGCUGCUAGUCUUCCUUUACCUGAAGGUCACAGGUAGAUGCAUGGAUUGCAACAACAUUUGAGCCAUUCAAACUUCAUCCUUGGCGGGCUGCCUCGUGUGCUCUGCUUGUUGACCGUCAAACCACAUAUCUCAUUCGAUCAUAUUCAAUGAACAGUGAAGUCAAUGUUGUCUAUAAAUUGCCUCUUAUGUUUCGCUUCCUAUACUUUUUAUGCUCUCUCUCUCUCUCUCUCUCUCUCUCUCUCUCUCUUUCCUUGUAUCCCCAUGAGGAAGUUCUUUGGCUGCUUGGCUCAGGAAGCUGAGAGUACCAUGGCUUCCGAGACUGGCAGACGAAAGCUCUCUGUUUUAUGCUCGCCAAGACGCUGGAUUCGUACGUCGAAGAAGCCGAAGAACUCACCAGGGAAGCAGGAAGACGACCGUGAGAAGAAGGGAGCCAUGAGGCUGAAGGUGAUGGUGAGCAAGAAGGAGGCAGCUCAGUUGCUGGCCAUGUACGUCCGCGGCGAGGAGGAGAUGGUGGCCAAGAUCGUGAGCGAGCUGCAAAGAAGAACAGAGGCCGGACAACAAGGAUCGAGCAGUGAUGCGUGGCGACCGAUGCUGGAGAGCAUCCCUGAGGAUUGAUGGAUGGUAGAUACGGAAUGCGGAUCAUGUCAUCCCCACCGGAGGAUAUCGCUGAUGCGCAACGAGAGAGGGAGACGGAGAGAGAUCGCUGCACAGACUACUAGGAACAGUCUUUAUAUCAUCUUCUCUCUUCAUUUGGGUCUGAGAGCUAAUAAGACUACUUGGAGUCUCCACACCAUGUUACCACCCCAGCUGCGUAUACUGCAAGUUAUAGCUUCUGUGCAUGAUGAUUGCUGCAUCUAUGAGCCAUUUUCUAUGCAUUCAGAUGUGAUAUUAAGAA